UACGUAGGGGGCUAGCGUUGUCCGGAUUUACUGGGCGUAAAGAGCGUGUAGGCGGCCAAGCAGGUCCGUUGUGAAAACUGGAGGCUUAACCUCCAGACGUCGACGGAAACCGCGUGGCUAGAGUCCGGAAGAGGAGAGUGGAAUUCCUGGUGUAGCGGUGAAAUGCGCAGAUAUCAGGAAGAACACCAAUGGCGAAGGCAGCUCUCUGGGACGGUACUGACGCUGAGACGCGAAAGCGUGGGGAGCGAACAGG
RNAcentral lists this ribosomal RNA (253 nucleotides) under uncultured bacterium. RNAcentral describes it as "partial 16S ribosomal RNA". It matches the Rfam family "Bacterial small subunit ribosomal RNA", at positions 524 to 776 of the family's 1533-position model. The record is from RNAcentral.